Molecule: long non-coding RNA, 1198 nt
Organism: Canis lupus familiaris (dog)
Lineage: Eukaryota; Metazoa; Chordata; Mammalia; Carnivora; Canidae
Exons: 3
Source: RefSeq, a predicted model, not a curated record
GGAUGUGUGGGUUGCUGGUCACCAAUAUUUUUAAUUCCCUCCUCUGUGUUCUGCAGGUGAAGAGGUGGACCUUAUCAUCUCCACCAUAUAGUAGAGCUGAUAUUUGGGCUGUCGUCUCCUUGGGUCCUGAUUCCACCUUGUUGGUCCCUCAAGCCAGGACAACUGUGCUACCAUAUCUUGUGAAAGAGUGCGUCAUAGGCAGCAGUCCCACACCUCAACUGGAGUCCUGAGCAGAUAACCAGAUCAAGAUACAGGUCAAGAGAACUCCCCAGGAUGCCCAGUUAUGAGAACAAGGCCAAAGCAGCCUGCCUCAGCACCUGUCGCAUUCAAAUCAAAGUUUUGCAGAACCAACAUAACAUCUCUACGGAACCCUAGUGUUCCACAACGGACACAAUUUGAAAACCACUGCAAUAAGAUAAAUUCCUGGUGUAAGUGACCAAAAGUCAGCUGGAGGAAGCUUAAGUCAUAAAAAGGGAUUUAAUGGCCUAUAUUACCAAACUGUGGGAGAGCUCAGGGUCCUACUUACUGGGACUUUCUCUUAAACCUGUUAAGCAGUGGUUCCCUCUUCCCCUCUGCCAGCCCCGGGCAACCAUCAAUCUACAUUCUGACUCUAUGGACUUAUCUAUUCCAGAUAUUUCGUGUAAAUGGAAUUGCACAAUACGUGAUCUUUUGUGUCUGGCUUCUUACACUUGGACGUAACAUUUUCAAGGUUCAUCCAUGUUGUAACAGGUACCAGUACUUCAUUCCUUUGUUUGAGCAAGAUCCCACUGUAUGGAGAGAUCACACUUGGCUUGCCCAUUCAUCUGUUGAUGGAUAUUUGGGCUGUUUCCACCUUGUGGCUAUUGUGAACGGUGCUGCUAUGAACAUGUGUGAACAUGCAUUUGUAUCAGUUUUCCAUCCUUCUGGGAAUAUGCCUGUGAGCGGAGUUGCUCAUCAUUACCAUUUGCCUGGUCAGUUGCAGUCCUCCAAACUGGCCUCCACAUGGUUGUGAGGGUCAUCCUUUUCCUUUUCAAAAGCACUAUUUUCCUUCCUAUAAAUGAACAUGCUUCUUUUAAAGCUAUACAUGUUCAUAGUCAAAAUUUUGAAAAAUACAUAAAAGAGUGAGUAUGAGUGUGUGUGCGUGUGUGUGUGCGUGUAAUACAGGGGAUUAUAACUGACAUCUAUGAAUUUAAUAAAGUCUCUAGCAUUCUGGUGCCCA